RNAcentral lists this ribosomal RNA (208 nucleotides) under uncultured bacterium. RNAcentral's name for it is "partial 16S ribosomal RNA". It matches the Rfam family "Bacterial small subunit ribosomal RNA", at positions 568 to 774 of the family's 1533-position model. The record is from RNAcentral.
CGCGUAGGCGGGCCUUCAAGUCGGAUGUGAAAACUAUCGGCUCAACUGAUAGCCUGCAUCCGAUACUGUUGGUCUUGAGUACGGAAGAGGAGAGCGGAAUUCCAGGUGUAGCGGUGAAAUGCGUAGAUAUCUGGAAGAACACCAGUAGCGAAGGCGGCUCUCUGGUCCGAUACUGACGCUCAAGCGCGAAGGCUAGGGGGAGCAAACA